UACAGAGGUCUCAAGCGUUGUUCGGAUUCAUUGGGCGUAAAGGGUGCGUAGGUGGCGCGCUAAGUCAGGUGUGAAAUCUCGGGGCUUAACUCCGAAACUGCAUUUGAUACUGGCGUGCUUGAGGACUGGAGAGGAGACUGGAAUUCAUGGUGUAGCAGUGAAAUGCGUAGAUAUCAUGAGGAAUACCAGAGGCGAAGGCGGCUACCUGGACAAUUGCUGACGCUCAGGCACGAAAGCAUGGGGAGCAAAAGGG
Molecule: ribosomal RNA, 253 nt
Filed under: uncultured bacterium
Lineage: Bacteria
Description: partial 16S ribosomal RNA
Rfam family: Bacterial small subunit ribosomal RNA
Source: RNAcentral